Molecule: long non-coding RNA, 227 nt
Organism: Zophobas morio
Lineage: Eukaryota; Metazoa; Arthropoda; Insecta; Coleoptera; Tenebrionidae
Exons: 3
Source: RefSeq, a predicted model, not a curated record
AGGAGAAAGAUUACUUUCUUGUGUUAAAAUACUGUUCACGCACACCGUCAAUAUGCUUAAAAUUUUUAAAGCGCUUUCGUUAAUGGAAGUAAUUCUCGAUUAUAGCAACUUUCUUUCGGGUAUUCUUCUAAGUCAAGCUAACUAUGCCCAUGAACUCCCAAUGGAGAAAUGGGAAUUCCUGUUGCAAUUCUAUACUUCCUGUAUUCUGGAUUUUCGCUCUUUCAUUG